CGCACAUGCCCGAACCACCUCAGCUUCGCUUCUCGCAUCUUCUCAUCCACCGGGACCACCCCCACCUUAUCUCGAAUAACUUCAUUCUUAAUAUUAUCUAACCUGGUGUGCCAGCACAUCCACCUGAGCAUCCUCAUCUCCGCAACCUUCAUUCUCUGAACAUGAGAGUUCUUCACGGGCCAGCACUCCGCCCCAUGCAACAUCGCAGGUCUAACCACGGCUCUAUAGAAUUGCCCCUUGAGUUUAUGUGGAACUCUCUUGUCACACAGAACUCCUAAUGCAAGCCUCCACUUUGACCACCCCACUCCUAUACGAUGA
This 318-nucleotide long non-coding RNA is filed under the name Nicotiana benthamiana. RNAcentral's name for it is "long non-coding RNA (NBEN_LNC018767)". Lineage: Eukaryota; Viridiplantae; Streptophyta; Magnoliopsida; Solanales; Solanaceae. The record is from RNAcentral.